CUCAAACCUCAAUCACACACGGGCAGCCACACACACACACACACACACACACAUAGUCAGAGAUAAAUAUAGAUUGGCUUUUCCUUUAACACGGAGGUGACAGCUUUGAGAGGUCAGGCUGCUUAUGUGUAUGCAUGUGUG
Salarias fasciatus (jewelled blenny) is the source of this 141-nucleotide long non-coding RNA. RefSeq lists it as uncharacterized. The record is from RefSeq and is a predicted model, not a curated record. NCBI's taxonomy places the organism in Eukaryota, Metazoa, Chordata, Actinopteri, Blenniiformes, Blenniidae. The transcript has 3 exons.